RNAcentral lists this ribosomal RNA (772 nucleotides) under Salmonella enterica. RNAcentral describes it as "partial 23S ribosomal RNA". It matches the Rfam family "Bacterial large subunit ribosomal RNA", at positions 423 to 1197 of the family's 2925-position model. Lineage: Bacteria; Pseudomonadati; Pseudomonadota; Gammaproteobacteria; Enterobacterales; Enterobacteriaceae. The record is from RNAcentral.
CACGUGGUAUCCUGUCUGAAUAUGGGGGGACCAUCCUCCAAGGCUAAAUACUCCUGACUGACCGAUAGUGAACCAGUACCGUGAGGGAAAGGCGAAAAGAACCCCGGCGAGGGGAGUGAAAAAGAACCUGAAACCGUGUACGUACAAGCAGUGGGAGCACCCUUUGGGUGUGACUGCGUACCUUUUGUAUAAUGGGUCAGCGACUUAUAUUCUGUAGCAAGGUUAACCGAAUAGGGGAGCCGGAGGGAAACCGAGUCUUAACCGGGCGUUAAGUUGCAGGGUAUAGACCCGAAACCCGGUGAUCUAGCCAUGGGCAGGUUGAAGGUUGGGUAACACUAACUGGAGGACCGAACCGACUAAUGUUGAAAAAUUAGCGGAUGACCUGUGGCUGGGGGUGAAAGGCCAAUCAAACCGGGAGAUAGCUGGUUCUCCCCGAAAGCUAUUUAGGUAGCGCCUCGUGAAUUCAUCUCCGGGGGUAGAGCACUGUUUCGGCUAGGGGGCCAUCCCGGCUUACCAACCCGAUGCAAACUGCGAAUACCGGAGAAUGUUAUCACGGGAGACACACGGCGGGUGCUAACGUCCGUCGUGAAGAGGGAAACAACCCAGACCGCCAGCUAAGGUCCCAAAGUCAUGGUUAAGUGGGAAACGAUGUGGGAAGGCCCAGACAGCCAGGAUGUUGGCUUAGAAGCAGCCAUCAUUUAAAGAAAGCGUAAUAGCUCACUGGUCGAGUCGGCCUGCGCGGAAGAUGUAACGGGGCUAAACCAUGCACCGA